RNAcentral lists this transfer RNA (68 nucleotides) under Nagiella inferior. RNAcentral's name for it is "tRNA-Ala". Lineage: Eukaryota; Metazoa; Arthropoda; Insecta; Lepidoptera; Crambidae. The record is from RNAcentral.
AGGAUUAUAGUUUAAAAAAAAACUUUUGAUUUGCAUUCAAAAAAUAUUGAAAAUUACAAUUUAUCUUA